This 143-nucleotide ribosomal RNA is filed under the name uncultured bacterium. Its description in RNAcentral is "partial 16S ribosomal RNA". It matches the Rfam family "Bacterial small subunit ribosomal RNA", at positions 338 to 498 of the family's 1533-position model. The record is from RNAcentral.
CCUACGGGAGGCAGCAGUGAGGAAUAUUGCACAAUGGAGGAAACUCUGAUGCAGCAACGCCGCGUGGAGGAUGACGCAUUUCGGUGUGUAAACUCCUUUUAGUAGGGAAGAUAAUGACGGUACCUACUGAAUAAGCACCGCCU